This 519-nucleotide ribosomal RNA is filed under the name Microhyla chakrapanii. RNAcentral describes it as "partial 16S ribosomal RNA". It matches the Rfam family "Bacterial large subunit ribosomal RNA", at positions 1856 to 2592 of the family's 2925-position model. Lineage: Eukaryota; Metazoa; Chordata; Amphibia; Anura; Microhylidae. The record is from RNAcentral.
AGCCUGCCCAGUGACUAAGUUAAACGGCCGCGGUACCCUAACCGUGCAAAGGUAGCGCAAUCACUUGUUCUUUAAAUGAGGACUAGUAUGAAUGGCAUCACGAGGGUUAUGCUGUCUCCCUACUCUACUCAGUGAAACUGAUCUCCCCGUGAAGAAGCGGGGAUAAAAAUAUAAGACGAGAAGACCCCAUGGAGCUUUAAACUCAGUACCAACUGCCUAAUUAAGAACCUUUUACUCCUGCAGCGAUGGUUACUAGUUUUCGGUUGGGGUGACCACGGAGUAAAAUUAAACCUCCACGAUGAAAGGAACUAACAACCUAACCUAUGAGCUACAGCUCUAAGCAUCAAUAAAUUGACUAAUUGAUCCAAUCAGUUGAUCAACGAACCUAGUUACCCUGGGGAUAACAGCGCAAUCCAUUUCAAGAGCUCAUAUCGACAAAUGGGUUUACGACCUCGAUGUUGGAUCAGGGUAUCCCAGUGGCGCAGCCGCUACUAACGGUUCGUUUGUUCAACGAUUAAA